This is a non-coding RNA of Paramuricea clavata, 557 nucleotides long. The record is from the annotation of a GenBank genome assembly. Lineage: Eukaryota; Metazoa; Cnidaria; Anthozoa; Malacalcyonacea; Plexauridae.
AUUUAUGGUGGGGUGUGGCACCGAAGAGAAAUGUUUUUCGUGCCAAAAAUUUUGCCGACCCAACAAUUAAAAUAUCAAAAAUUUGAUUACCCAACCUCAAAUAUCAUUUAAAAAAUAAAAACCCACCCCUGGCCAAAAACGUUAGAAAAGGAUGUCAUUCAGUUGUCACAUAUGUCCUUUACCACUUCUGUAAUACGAGUUUGAUAACGUUCGGCUUGUGAAAUUUACUGACUUUUCUGCAGUCUAAAGCUUCAUGUUGUCUGCACAUUUACUUUCUUUGGAGACACCAUUUGUCUCCCAACAAAUCGGAAAAUCAUCAAGAUAGUGACUCUGAUUGAUUGAUUGAUUGAAAUAUUGUAUUGACAUAUGACUGUUGACAUUGCAGUUUUCAGUCUUCGAUAUUUGAGUGAGUCAUGCUUUGGAAAUGACAAUAAAUUUUUAUUACCCAACCUUUGAGUUGUUUCGUUUUUCAUUUACCUAACCUUUUACUCACUCAAAAUUUUGUUUACCCAACCGUUUUCUCUUCGGUGCCACCCCCCGCCAUAAAUAAUGACCGG